UACGUAGGGGGCAAGCGUUGUCCGGAUUUAUUGGGCGUAAAGAGCUCGUAGGUGGUUCGGUAAGUCGGAUGUGAAAUCUCCAGGCUCAACCUGGAGGGGUCAUUCGAUACUGCCGUGACUAGAGGUCGGUAGGGGAGUGUGGAAUUCCUGGUGUAGCGGUGAAAUGCGCAGAUAUCAGGAGGAACACCGGUGGCGAAGGCGGAUCUCUGGGCCAUUACUGACGCUGAGGAGCGAAAGCGUGGGGAUCAAACAGG
This 254-nucleotide ribosomal RNA is filed under the name uncultured bacterium. RNAcentral describes it as "partial 16S ribosomal RNA". It matches the Rfam family "Bacterial small subunit ribosomal RNA", at positions 524 to 776 of the family's 1533-position model. The record is from RNAcentral.